ACAAACUUGGUCAUUUAGAGGAAGUAAAAGUCGUAACAAGGUUUCCGUAGGUGAACCUGCGGAAGGAUCAUUAUUGAAUAACUUGCCUUGAUGGGUUGUUGCUGGCCUCUCGGGGCAUGUGCACGCCUGUCUUGACUCUAUUCAUCCACCUGUGCACUUAUUGUAGUUCUGUACACGCUGAGGGUCAAGAAAGCUAAGCAACUGUUCGGUUGAAACACACUGGAUAUGAGGAUUGCCUUCUGGGCUUUCUUCUACCAAGCUUCGUGGAAUUGUACUCUCUCGAGAAUAGGACUAUGUCUUUUAUCAUAAACCAUAUAGUAUGUUGCCAGAAUGUAAUCAAUGGGUCUUUGUGCCUAUAAAACUUUAUACAACUUUCAGCAACGGAUCUCUUGGCUCUCGCAUCGAUGAAGAACGCAGC
Molecule: unclassified non-coding RNA, 418 nt
Filed under: uncultured fungus
Lineage: Eukaryota; Fungi
Description: partial contains small subunit ribosomal RNA, internal transcribed spacer 1, and 5.8S ribosomal RNA
Rfam family: Eukaryotic small subunit ribosomal RNA (bases 1-73)
Source: RNAcentral